Molecule: unclassified non-coding RNA, 371 nt
Filed under: Hevea brasiliensis (rubber tree)
Lineage: Eukaryota; Viridiplantae; Streptophyta; Magnoliopsida; Malpighiales; Euphorbiaceae
Source: RNAcentral
AGGCUCCUUGUCUGGUGGAAGAUCUGAAAACAAGUUUAAAAUACAGUAACAGUAAUGAGAAACCACAGUUAUCCAAUUUACACUUCAUACUUGUGUACAGUUGCAAGUACACAAGAACAGAUUUAAUAAUAAUCAUAAUUGGUUUUAAGAUAUUUUGGCACUAAUGAUCUUUUCUCACAUGCAGUACAGUUUAAACUUCGACAGAUAACGAUUUUCAUGUCAAUAACUCAUCAUAUGAUCCAGAUUCCCAGCUAUUCAAAGAAAUACCAAUCAUGGGACUCAGCGUCCCUGUGAAUGACACUAGUAAUCUGAAAAUCAAGAAACAGAAAAGAGAAGACAAAUUUUCAUAAUGGAAACACAUCAUUGAGAGA